CGGGGUGUGGCGCAGUUGGUAGCGCACAGCGUUUGGGACGCUGGGGUCGCUGGUUCGAAUCCAGUCACCCCGACCA
This 76-nucleotide transfer RNA is filed under the name Chloroflexota bacterium. RNAcentral's name for it is "tRNA-Pro". It matches the Rfam family "tRNA". Rfam says of the family: Transfer RNA (tRNA) molecules are approximately 80 nucleotides in length. Their secondary structure includes four short double-helical elements and three loops (D, anti-codon, and T loops). Lineage: Bacteria; Bacillati; Chloroflexota. The record is from RNAcentral.